This 252-nucleotide ribosomal RNA is filed under the name uncultured bacterium. RNAcentral describes it as "partial 16S ribosomal RNA". It matches the Rfam family "Bacterial small subunit ribosomal RNA", at positions 524 to 776 of the family's 1533-position model. The record is from RNAcentral.
UACGUAGGGUGCAAGCGUUGUCCGGAAUUAUUGGGCGUAAAGAGCUCGUAGGCGGUCUGUCGCGUCGGAUGUGAAAAUCAGGGCUCAACCCUGGACCUGCAUUCGAUACGGGCAGACUAGAGUUCGGUAGGGGAGAUCGGAAUUCCUGGUGUAGCGGUGAAAUGCGCAGAUAUCAGGAGGAACACCGGUGGCGAAGGCGGGUCUCUGGGCCGAUACUGACGCUGAGGAGCGAAAGCGUGGGGAGCGAACAGG